UACGGAGGGUGCAAGCGUUGUCCGGAAUUAUUGGGCGUAAAGAGCUCGUAGGCGGUCUGUCGCGUCGGCUGUGAAAUCCCGAGGCUCAACCUCGGGUCUGCAGUCGAUACGGGCAAACUAGAGUAUUGCAGGGGAGACUGGAAUUCCUGGUGUAGCGGUGAAAUGCGCAGAUAUCAGGAGGAACACCGGUGGCGAAGGCGGCUUUCUGGACAGAAACUGACGCUGAGGCGCGAAAGCUAGGGGAGCAAACAGG
Molecule: ribosomal RNA, 253 nt
Filed under: uncultured bacterium
Lineage: Bacteria
Description: partial 16S ribosomal RNA
Rfam family: Bacterial small subunit ribosomal RNA
Source: RNAcentral